RNAcentral lists this ribosomal RNA (251 nucleotides) under uncultured prokaryote. RNAcentral's name for it is "partial 16S ribosomal RNA". It matches the Rfam family "Bacterial small subunit ribosomal RNA", at positions 524 to 774 of the family's 1533-position model. The record is from RNAcentral.
UACGGAGGAUCCGAGCGUUAUCCGGAUUUAUUGGGUUUAAAGGGUGCGCAGGUUGUUUGAUAAGUCAGUGGUGAAAGUCUGUCGCUUAACGGUAGGAUUGCCAUUGAUACUGUUGGACUUGAAUAUGGAUGAGGUAGGCGGAAUGUGUAGUGUAGCGGUGAAAUGCUUAGAGAUCACACAGAAUAUCGAUUGCGAAGGCAGCUCACAAAGCCAAGAUUGACGCUGAGGCACGAAAGUGUGGGGAUCAAACA